This 480-nucleotide ribosomal RNA is filed under the name uncultured bacterium. RNAcentral's name for it is "partial 16S ribosomal RNA". It matches the Rfam family "Bacterial small subunit ribosomal RNA", at positions 28 to 507 of the family's 1533-position model. The record is from RNAcentral.
GAUGAACGCUAGCGGCAGGCCUAAUACAUGCAAGUCGAGGGGUAUGGGUUGCUUGCAACCCAGAGACCGGCGCACGGGUGCGUAACGCGUAUGCAAUCUACCUUAAUCAGGGGGAUAGCCCGGAGAAAUCCGGAUUAACACCGCAUAACAUUGAGUUGUGGCAUCACAGUUCUAUCAAAUAUUUAUAGGAUUAAGAUGAGCAUGCGUGACAUUAGUUAGUUGGUGAGGUAACGGCUCACCAAGACCACGAUGUCUAGGGGAUCUGAGAGGAUGACCCCCCACACUGGUACUGAGACACGGACCAGACUCCUACGGGAGGCAGCAGUAAGGAAUAUUGGUCAAUGGGCGCAAGCCUGAACCAGCCAUGCCGCGUGCAGGAAGACGGCCCUAUGGGUUGUAAACUGCUUUUGUACCGGAAUAAACCUUCUCUUGCGAGAGAAGCUGAACGUACGGUAAGAAUAAGGAUCGGCUAACUCCGUG